This is a long non-coding RNA of Arabidopsis thaliana (thale cress), 392 nucleotides long. RefSeq annotates it as other RNA. Lineage: Eukaryota; Viridiplantae; Streptophyta; Magnoliopsida; Brassicales; Brassicaceae. The transcript has a single exon. The record is from RefSeq.
GUGUAUCCUCAGAGAUUAAUUCCUGUAACAUAUGAACAAACACUUGGAAGCUUGUACUGGUGAAACAAAAGACGCAAGACCCAACAUUUUGGAUUACUAUAAGGGAGUUGAUUGGUCAUCUUCUACCAUGUUGAGAAGUUUAAUCAUGAAAAAAACAGAGCUAAGAGCACAACACAUAAUUAUCCUAGUGCGGGAUUAUUCAUCAUACAGGGUUUGACUUACUAAAAUGAUGGUUAACUCAACUGAAAUGAUAAAUAGUAUUUUCAUUUUUCCUUUUCGGUAUGAGCUUUUUAUUUAACUUACGAUGAAAAGAGUGCAUUAUUGAAACUAGCAAUUUGACAGCUAAGAAAUCUUGCAGCAGUUACUAACCUCCUCAUCUACUGACUGAUCAG